CCUACGGGAGGCAGCAGUAGGGAAUAUUGGGCAAUGGGCGAGAGCCUGACCCAGCCAUGCCGCGUGCCGGAUGAAGGCCUUCUGGGUUGUAAACGGCUUUUCUCAGGGAAGAAAAAGCCCAUGCGUGGGACACUGACGGUACCUGAGGAAUAAGCACCGGCUAACUCCGUGCCAGCAGCCGCGGUAAUACGGAGGGUGCAAGCGUUGUCCGGAUUUAUUGGGUUUAAAGGGUGCGUAGGCGGCCCGUUAAGUCCGGGGUGAAAGCCCACAGCUCAACUGUGGAACUGCCCUGGAUACUGGCGGGCUUGAGUCCAGACGAGGUUGGCGGAAUGGAUGGUGUAGCGGUGAAAUGCAUAGAUACCAUCCAGAACCCCGAUUGCGUAGGCAGCUGACUAGGCUGGUACUGACGCUGAGGCACGAAAGCGUGGGGAGCGAACAGGAUUAGAUACCCUGGUAGUCCACGCCGUAAACGAUGGAUACUCGCUGGUGGCGAUAGACAGUCACUGGCUUAGCGAAAGCGGUAAGUAUCCCACCUGGGGAGUACGCUCGCAAGAGUGAAACUCAAAUGAAUUGACGG
This 577-nucleotide ribosomal RNA is filed under the name uncultured bacterium. RNAcentral describes it as "bacterial SSU rRNA". It matches the Rfam family "Bacterial small subunit ribosomal RNA", at positions 338 to 916 of the family's 1533-position model. The record is from RNAcentral.